This 24-nucleotide non-coding RNA is filed under the name Arabidopsis thaliana (thale cress). The record is from RNAcentral. Lineage: Eukaryota; Viridiplantae; Streptophyta; Magnoliopsida; Brassicales; Brassicaceae.
AGAAACGCCACUGGAAGAACAAUG